UAGGGAAUCUUCCACAAUGGACGCAAGUCUGAUGGAGCAACGCCGCGUGAGUGAAGAAGGUUUUCGGAUCGUAAAGCUCUGUUGUUGGUGAAGAAGGAUAGAGGCAGUAACUGGUCUUUAUUUGACGGUAAUCAACCAGAAAGUCACGGCUAACUACGUGCCAGCAGCCGCGGUAAUACGUAGGUGGCAAGCGUUGUCCGGAUUUAUUGGGCGUAAAGCGAGCGCAGGCGGAAUGAUAAGUCUGAUGUGAAAGCCCACGGCUCAACCGUGGAACGGCAUCGGAAACUGUCAUUCUUGAGUGCAGAAGAGGAGAGUGGAAUUCCAUGUGUAGCGGUGGAAUGCGUAGAUAUAUGGGAGGACACCAGUGGCGAAGGCGGCUCUCUGGUCUGCAACUGACGCUGAGGCUCGAAAGCAUGGGUAGCGAACAGG
Molecule: ribosomal RNA, 429 nt
Filed under: bacterium
Lineage: Bacteria
Description: partial 16S ribosomal RNA
Rfam family: Bacterial small subunit ribosomal RNA
Source: RNAcentral